UGAGAGGAUGAUCAGUCACACUGGAACUGAGACACGGUCCAGACUCCUACGGGAGGCAGCAGUGGGGAAUAUUACACAAUGGAGGAAACUCUGAUGUAGCAACGCCGCGUGGAGGAUGACACAUUUCGGUGCGUAAACUCCUUUUAUAUGGGAAGAUAAUGACGGUACCAUAUGAAUAAGCACCGGCUAACUCCGUGCCAGCAGCCGCGGUAAUACGGAGGGUGCAAGCGUUACUCGGAAUCACUGGGCGUAAAGCGCAUGUAGGCGGUCUUGUAAGUUGGGUGUGAAAGCCUAUGGCUCAACCAUAGAACUGCACCCAAAACUACUAGACUAGAGUCUGGGAGAGGAAAAUGGAAUUAGUUGUGUAGGGGUAAAAUCCGUAGAGAUAACUAGGAAUACCAAAAGCGAAGGCAAUUUUCUGGAACAGUACUGACGCUCAGAUGCGAAAGCGUGGGUAGCAAACAGGAUUAGAUACCCUGGUAGUCCACGCCCUAAACGAUGAAUGUUAGUCGUCGGGAGGCUCGUCCUUUCGGUGAUGCAGCUAACGCAUUAAACAUUCCGCCUGGGGAGUACGGUCGCAAGAUUAAAACUCAAAGGAAUAGACGGGGACCCGCACAAGUGGUGGAGCAUGUGGUUUAAUUCGAAGAUACGCGAAGAACCUUACCUAGCCUUGACAUUGAUAGAAUCCGAUGGAAACAUUGGAGUGCCAGUUUACUGGAGCUUGAAAACAGGUGCUGCACGGCUGUCGUCAGCUCGUGUCGUGAGAUGUUGGGUUAAGUCCCGCAACGAGCGCAACCCUCGUCCUUAGUUACUAACGGUUCGGCCGAGGACUCUAAGGAGACUGCCUUCGUAAGGAGGAGGAAGGUGAGGACGACGUCAAGUCAUCAUGGCCCUUACGGCCAGGGCUACACACGUGCUACAAUGGGGCGUACAGAGAGCUGCAAUACCGCGAGGUGGAGCCAAUCUCUUAAAGCGUCUCUCAGUUCGGAUUGUUCUCUGCAACUCGAGAACAUGAAGCUGGAAUCACUAGUAAUCGCAGAUCAGCUAUGCUGCGGUGAAUACGUUCCCGGGUCUUGUACUCACCGCCCGUCACACCAUGGGAGUUGAUUUCACCCGAAAUCGGGAUGCCAAACUGGCUACCGCUUACGGUGGAAUUAGCGACUGGGGUGAAGUGGUAACAAGGUAACC
Molecule: ribosomal RNA, 1188 nt
Filed under: uncultured Campylobacterota bacterium
Lineage: Bacteria; Pseudomonadati; Campylobacterota
Description: bacterial SSU rRNA
Rfam family: Bacterial small subunit ribosomal RNA
Source: RNAcentral